Molecule: ribosomal RNA, 1678 nt
Filed under: Salmonella enterica
Lineage: Bacteria; Pseudomonadati; Pseudomonadota; Gammaproteobacteria; Enterobacterales; Enterobacteriaceae
Description: partial 23S ribosomal RNA
Rfam family: Bacterial large subunit ribosomal RNA
Source: RNAcentral
AGGGGGCUUAGUGGUGGGGUGACUGCGUACCUUUUGUAUAAUGGGUCAGCGACUUAUAUUCUGUAGCAAGGUUAACCGUAUAGGGGAGCCGGAGGGAAACCGAGUCUUAACCGGGCGUUAAGUUGCAGGGUAUAGACCCGAAACCCGGUGAUCUAGCCAUGGGCAGGUUGAAGGUUGGGUAACACUAACUGGAGGACCGAACCGACUAAUGUUGAAAAAUUAGCGGAUGACCUGUGGCUGGGGGUGAAAGGCCAAUCAAACCGGGAGAUAGCUGGUUCUCCCCGAAAGCUAUUUAGGUAGCGCCUCGUGAAUUCAUCUCCGGGGGUAGAGCACUGUUUCGGCUAGGGGGCCAUCCCGGCUUACCAACCCGAUGCAAACUGCGAAUACCGGAGAAUGUUAUCACGGGAGACACACGGCGGGUGCUAACGUCCGUCGUGAAGAGGGAAACAACCCAGACCGCCAGCUAAGGUCCCAAAGUCAUGGUUAAGUGGGAAACGAUGUGGGAAGGCCCAGACAGCCAGGAUGUUGGCUUAGAAGCAGCCAUCAUUUAAAGAAAGCGUAAUAGCUCACUGGUCGAGUCGGCCUGCGCGGAAGAUGUAACGGGGCUAAACCAUGCACCGAAGCUGCGGCAGCGACACUCAGGUGUUGUUGGGUAGGGGAGCGUUCUGUAAGCCUGUGAAGGUGGCCUGUGAGGGUUGCUGGAGGUAUCAGAAGUGCGAAUGCUGACAUAAGUAACGAUAAAGCGGGUGAAAAGCCCGCUCGCCGGAAGACCAAGGGUUCCUGUCCAACGUUAAUCGGGGCAGGGUGAGUCGACCCCUAAGGCGAGGCCGAAAGGCGUAGUCGAUGGGAAACGGGUUAAUAUUCCCGUACUUGGUGUUACUGCGAAGGGGGGACGGAGAAGGCUAUGUUGGCCGGGCGACGGUUGUCCCGGUUUAAGCGUGUAGGUGUGUGUUCCAGGUAAAUCCGGUUCACUUUAACACUGAGGCGUGACGACGAGGCACUACGGUGCUGAAGCAACAAAUGCCCUGCUUCCAGGAAAAGCCUCUAAGCAUCAGGUAACAUCAAAUCGUACCCCAAACCGACACAGGUGGUCAGGUAGAGAAUACCAAGGCGCUUGAGAGAACUCGGGUGAAGGAACUAGGCAAAAUGGUGCCGUAACUUCGGGAGAAGGCACACUGACACGUAGGUGAAGUGAUUUACUCAUGGAGCUGAAGUCAGUCGAAGAUACCAGCUGGCUGCAACUGUUUAUUAAAAACACAGCACUGUGCAAACACGAAAGUGGACGUAUACGGUGUGACGCCUGCCCGGUGCCGGAAGGUUAAUUGAUGGGGUCAGCGCAAGCGAAGCUCCUGAUCGAAGCCCCGGUAAACGGCGGCCGUAACUAUAACGGUCCUAAGGUAGCGAAAUUCCUUGUCGGGUAAGUUCCGACCUGCACGAAUGGCGUAAUGAUGGCCAGGCUGUCUCCACCCGAGACUCAGUGAAAUUGAACUCGCUGUGAAGAUGCAGUGUACCCGCGGCAAGACGGAAAGACCCCGUGAACCUUUACUAUAGCUUGACACUGAACAUUGAGCCUUGAUGUGUAGGAUAGGUGGGAGGCUUUGAAGUGUGGACGCCAGUCUGCAUGGAGCCGACCUUGAAAUACCACCCUUUAAUGUUUGAUGUUCUAACGUGGACCCGU